Molecule: transfer RNA, 67 nt
Filed under: Marmota monax (woodchuck)
Lineage: Eukaryota; Metazoa; Chordata; Mammalia; Rodentia; Sciuridae
Description: tRNA.Thr
Source: RNAcentral
GGCUGUAGCUCAAUGGUAGAGUGCUUGCCUAGUAUGUGUGAGGUACUGGGUUCAAUUCUCAGUACCA